AACAAACGCUGGCGGCGUGCCUAAUACAUGCAAGUCGAACGGGGAAAGUCUUCGGAUGAGUACUAGUGGCGCACGGGUGAGGAACACGUAGAUAAUCUGCCCCUAGGCGGGGAAUAACUGGUCGAAAGAUCAGCUAAUACCGCAUAAGACCACGACUUCUGAGGAAGGUGGGGUUAAAGGCUUCGGCCACCUAGGGAUGAGUCUGCGUCCGAUUAGCUAGUUGGUGAGGUAAGAGCUCACCAAGGCGACGAUCGGUAACUGGUCUAAGAGGAUGACCAGUCACACUGGGACUGAGACACGGCCCAGACUCCUACGGGAGGCAGCAGUAGGGAAUAUUGCACAAUGGAGGAAACUCUGAUGCAGCGACGCCGCGUGAGUGAUGAAGGCCCUCGGGUUGUAAAGCUCUGUUCUUAGGGAAUAAAAAAAUGAAGGUACCUAAGGAGAAAGGACCGGCUAACUUCGUGCCAGCAGCCGCAGUAA
Molecule: ribosomal RNA, 480 nt
Filed under: uncultured bacterium
Lineage: Bacteria
Description: partial 16S ribosomal RNA
Rfam family: Bacterial small subunit ribosomal RNA
Source: RNAcentral